CAGUAGCCGCGGGAAUACGUAGGGUGCGAGCGUUAAUCGGAAUUACUGGGCGUAAAGCGUGCGCAGGCGGUUCGUUAAGUCUGUUGUGAAAGCCCCGGGCUCAACCUGGGAAUGGCAAUGGAUACUGGCGAGCUAGAGUGUGUCAGAGGAUGGUGGAAUUCCCGGUGUAGCGGUGAAAUGCGUAGAGAUCGGGAGGAACAUCAGUGGCGAAGGCGGCCAUCUGGGACAACACUGACGCUGAGGCACGAAAGCGUGGGGAGCAAACAGGAUUAGAUACCCCUGUAGUCCCUGUCUCUUAUAC
Molecule: ribosomal RNA, 301 nt
Filed under: uncultured bacterium
Lineage: Bacteria
Description: partial 16S ribosomal RNA
Rfam family: Bacterial small subunit ribosomal RNA
Source: RNAcentral